Molecule: ribosomal RNA, 439 nt
Filed under: uncultured bacterium
Lineage: Bacteria
Description: bacterial SSU rRNA
Rfam family: Bacterial small subunit ribosomal RNA
Source: RNAcentral
UACGGGAGCAGCAGUGGGGAAUAUUGCACAAUGGGCGCAAGCCUGAUGCAGCCAUGCCGCGUGUAUGAAGAAGGCCUUCGGGUUGUAAAGUACUUUCAGUCGUGAGGAAGGUGUUAAGGUUAAUAACCUUAGCAAUUGACGUUAGCGACAGAAGAAGCACCGGCUAACUCCGUGCCAGCAGCCGCGGUAAUACGGAGGGUGCGAGCGUUAAUCGGAAUUACUGGGCGUAAAGGGCACGCAGGCGGUUAAUUAAGUUGGAUGUGAAAUCCCCGGGCUUAACCUGGGAAUGGCAUUCAAGACUGGUUAGCUAGAGUCUUGUAGAGGGGGUAGAAUUCCAUGUGUAGCGGUGAAAUGCGUAGAGAUGUGGAGGAAUACCGGUGGCGAAGGCGGCCCCUGGACAAAGGCUGACGCUCAUGUGCGAAAGCGUGGGGAGCAAACG